This 312-nucleotide ribosomal RNA is filed under the name Triticum aestivum (bread wheat). RNAcentral describes it as "partial small subunit ribosomal RNA". Lineage: Eukaryota; Viridiplantae; Streptophyta; Magnoliopsida; Poales; Poaceae. The record is from RNAcentral.
CUGUUUUUAUUUUGCCGAUUCACACAGCAGGUUUGGUCCAGGUUCAGAGACUGGACGCGGGCUCAGUUCUCGAUCCCUGAUGAUCACUUUGACAGCUCUGAAUCGCGGUGGAUCAAUACUCGAAAGGAAAUUCCCAAAUCAGCUCGAAGAAACUUUGACACCAUCACCAUUCUGAUCCACUAGAGAAUUUGGAAAGAACGAAACGCGGGUUUUUUUUAGCAUGUGGGCAGCAAUGUGGACAGGGUGAUGGAGCUGAUCAGAGAAGAUAUUGUUGUCUGGAGAUCUGCCGGUUGUGUAGGCGAUGUGUACUGA